CCAUUGGAGGGGGUAUAGCGUAGGAGUCCUAACAUUGUGAACCUUACCUUCUACCGUUGCUUCGGCGGGCGGGCCGGCCCCAGGGCCGCGCCCCCCAGGCCCCCCCGCGCUCGCCCGCCGGAGGAAACCCAAACUCUUGAUAUUCAUGGCCUCUCUGAGUCUUCUGUACUGAAUAAGUCAAAACUUUCAACAACGGAUCUCUUGGUUCUGGCAUCGAUGAAGAACGCAGCGAAAUGCGAUAAGUAAUGUGAAUUGCAGAAUUCAGUGAAUCAUCGAAUCUUUGAACGCACAUUGCGCCCGCCAGUAUUCUGGCGGGCAUGCCUGUUCGAGCGUCAUUUCAACCAUCAAGCCCCGGGCUUGUGUUGGGGACCUGCGGCUGCCGCAGGCCCUGAAAAACAGUGGCGGGCUCGCUGUCACACCGAGCGUAGUAGAUUCUCAUCUCGCUCAGGGCGUGCUGCGGGUUCCGGCCGUAAAACAGCCUUAUUUUACCCAAGGUUGACCUCGGAUCAGGUAGGAAGACCCGCUGAACUUAAGCAUAUCAAUAGCCGGAGGAA
Molecule: ribosomal RNA, 554 nt
Filed under: Chaetomium sp. VRF 2026
Lineage: Eukaryota; Fungi; Ascomycota; Sordariomycetes; Sordariales; Chaetomiaceae
Description: eukaryotic LSU rRNA
Rfam family: 5.8S ribosomal RNA (bases 182-335)
Source: RNAcentral